This 421-nucleotide ribosomal RNA is filed under the name Creagrutus cf. petilus MNRJ34411. RNAcentral describes it as "partial 12S ribosomal RNA". It matches the Rfam family "Bacterial small subunit ribosomal RNA", at positions 774 to 1395 of the family's 1533-position model. The record is from RNAcentral. Lineage: Eukaryota; Metazoa; Chordata; Actinopteri; Characiformes; Stevardiidae.
GGGAUUAGAUACCCCACUAUGCUUAGCCUUAAACCUAGAUGUUAAAUUUACAAGUAACAUCCGCCAGGGUACUACAAGCGCUAGCUUAAAACCCAAAGGACUUGACGGUGUCUCAGACCCACCUAGAGGAGCCUGUUCUAGAACCGAUAAUCCCCGUUAAACCUCACCACCCCUUGUUUAACCAGCCUAUAUACCGCCGUCGUAAGCUUACCCUGUGAAGGUAUCAUAGUAAGCAAAAUGGGUAGAUCCCAAAACGUCAGGUCGAGGUGUAGCUUACGAGGUGGGAAGAAAUGGGCUACAUUUUCUAUGUCAGAAUAUAAACGAACAGUACUAUGAAAUUAGUACUAGAAGGUGGAUUUAGAAGUAAAAAAAAAAUAGAGAGUCUUUUUGAACCAGGCUCUGAGACGCGUACACACCGCCC